GGGUUGGACGAAUUAUCCGAAGAGGAUCGCUUAACUGUAGCAAGAGCACGAAAAAUUGAACGUUUCUUAUCACAACCCUUUUUCGUAGCAGAAGUAUUUACCGGUUCUCGGGGGAAAUAUGUCGGUCUAGCAGAAACAAUUAGAGGGUUUAAAUUGAUCCUUUCGGGAGAAUUAGAUAGUCUCCCUGAGCAGGCCUUUUAUUUGGUAGGUAAUAUUGAUGAAGCUACUGCGAAGGCUACGAACUUAGAAAUGGAGAACAACUUGAAGAAAUGACCUUAAAUCUUUGUGUACUGACCCCGAAUCGAAUUGUUUGGGAUUCAGAAGUGAAAGAAAUCAUUUUAUCUACUAAUAGUGGACAAAUUGGCGUAUUACCAAACCAU
Molecule: unclassified non-coding RNA, 380 nt
Filed under: Hevea brasiliensis (rubber tree)
Lineage: Eukaryota; Viridiplantae; Streptophyta; Magnoliopsida; Malpighiales; Euphorbiaceae
Source: RNAcentral